Molecule: transfer RNA, 72 nt
Filed under: Todea barbara
Lineage: Eukaryota; Viridiplantae; Streptophyta; Polypodiopsida; Osmundales; Osmundaceae
Description: tRNA-Lys
Rfam family: tRNA
About the family: Transfer RNA (tRNA) molecules are approximately 80 nucleotides in length. Their secondary structure includes four short double-helical elements and three loops (D, anti-codon, and T loops). Further hydrogen bonds mediate the characteristic L-shaped molecular structure. tRNAs have two regions of fundamental functional importance: the anti-codon, which is responsible for specific mRNA codon recognition, and the 3' end, to which the tRNAs corresponding amino acid is attached (by aminoacyl-tRNA synthetases). tRNAs cope with the degeneracy of the genetic code in two manners: having more than one tRNA (with a specific anti-codon) for a particular amino acid; and 'wobble' base-pairing, i.e. permitting non-standard base-pairing at the 3rd anti-codon position.
Source: RNAcentral
GGGUUGCUAACUCAAUGGUAAAGUACUCGGCUUCUAACCGACGAGUUUCGGGUUCGAGCCCCGGGCAACCCA